AGGAUAAUAGUUAAAAUUUAAUUUUUGAUCUGCAAUCAAAAGAUAUUGAUUAUAUAUAUCAAUUUAUCUUA
This 71-nucleotide transfer RNA is filed under the name Perga condei. RNAcentral describes it as "tRNA-Ala". Lineage: Eukaryota; Metazoa; Arthropoda; Insecta; Hymenoptera; Pergidae. The record is from RNAcentral.